Molecule: ribosomal RNA, 477 nt
Filed under: uncultured Oceanospirillales bacterium
Lineage: Bacteria; Pseudomonadati; Pseudomonadota; Gammaproteobacteria; Oceanospirillales
Description: bacterial SSU rRNA
Rfam family: Bacterial small subunit ribosomal RNA
Source: RNAcentral
GGCGGACGGGUGAGUAACGCGUAGGAAUCUACCUAAUGGUGGGGGAUAGCCCAGGGAAACUUGGAUUAAUACCGCAUAAGUCCUAAGGGAGAAAGCGGGGGAUCUUCGGACCUCGUGCCAUUAGAUGAGCCUGCGUAAGAUUAGCUAGUUGGUGAGGUAAGAGCUCACCAAGGCGACGAUCUUUAGCUGGUCUGAGAGGAUGAUCAGCCACACUGGGACUGAGACACGGCCCAGACUCCUACGGGAGGCAGCAGUGGGGAAUAUUGGACAAUGGGGGCAACCCUGAUCCAGCCAUGCCGCGUGUGUGAAGAAGGCCUUCGGGUUGUAAAGCACUUUCAGCAGUGAGGAAAGGUUGCAGAUUAAUACUCUGUAGCUGUGACGUUAACUGCAGAAGAAGGACCGGCUAACUCCGUGCCAGCAGCCGCGGUAAUACGGAGGGUCCGAGCGUUAAUCGGAAUUACUGGGCGUAAAGCGCGC